GUGGCACAUGCAUGAAAUAUUAAAUAUAGACGAAAACAAAAACUAAUUACAUAGUUUAGCUGUAAAUCACGAGACGAAUCUUUUGAUCCUAGUUAGUCCAUGAUUGGAUAAUAUUUGUCACAAACAAACGAAAGUGCUACAGUACCGAAAACUUUUCACUUUUCAGAACUUAAUAUAGAGCUUCGGACAGAGGGUCUAGCAGUCAUGUCUUCAGAGUCGUGUCUCUGACUUCUUCUGUAGUGUUUGACUUGAUGUCUUUUUUUUUUUUGUCAGAGUUGGGUGGUAGUUGGUUGUUGAGUAUUUACUUUCUAGAGCAUUAGUAUACAUACGGUUCGCCACCCCUUUCUACAGGUGGAUUGGUGAACUGUCUAUGCUAACUGUCUGUGGAAAUAAUUUUUUUCAUGGACGGGUAAUUUAGAACCGUCUGUAGAAAUCUUUGUAUACAAAAUAUAAAAUUGACUUUUAAAAAUAGAGAAAAAAGAUUUUAAUUAUAGGAAAGGCGCACUAGCUAAUCGCUCGUCCGUCGCGACUCGCGUAUUUUUUCGCGUAAAAUAACGCGCUUCGCGGUCGGUGGGAUUCAAACCGGAGACCUCACCCUCGCGCGUAGUCUCCUCUACCACUCCACUUAUCAGUCAAUUGUGUCUUCACUAGAGUUUAGUUCCC
RNAcentral lists this long non-coding RNA (663 nucleotides) under Sorghum bicolor (sorghum). RNAcentral describes it as "long non-coding RNA (SBIC_LNC007809)". Lineage: Eukaryota; Viridiplantae; Streptophyta; Magnoliopsida; Poales; Poaceae. The record is from RNAcentral.